This 1311-nucleotide long non-coding RNA is filed under the name Homo sapiens (human). RNAcentral describes it as "long non-coding RNA NONHSAT193823.1". The record is from RNAcentral. Lineage: Eukaryota; Metazoa; Chordata; Mammalia; Primates; Hominidae.
CUGGGAGUUAGCUGGGAGUUGCUGACGCAGUUCCUUCUGCGCUUUGUUCAAGAUGUGGGUCUGGCGCUUUCGUGACUCAAGACCCUCUUAGGAACUUCUUCACUGAACUCAAGGAGGAGAUCAGGCAAGAUCUGUGCUGUGCAGAUCCUUUGGAUUGAGGCUGCUGUGCACAGGAAUAUGGAUGAUACUCUCCAAGCUGUAAGGAAGAAGUCAAGGAUUAAGGAGACCUGGACUGGAGAGGAGCCUUUUUCAAAAAACAACAAUGACAAGAGAAAAUGUAGCCCACAAUGCUCUGAGACAAGAGGGCCUUGUGAAGGGGAAGGAUGAUACCUGGAAAUGGGGAACCAGCUUCCAAGGAAGUAGCUCCUCUGUUUGGGAGACCUCCCACCUACACUUUAGACAAUUACGUUACCAUGAGACAUCUGGACCCCAGGAAGCCCUGAGCCGGCUCAGGGAACUCUGUCGCCGGUGGCUGAGACCAGAAGCACGCACCAAGGCACAGAUCCUGGAGCUGCUGGUGCUGGAGCAGUUUCUGAGCAUCCUGCCUGGGGAGAUUCGGACCUGGGUACAGCUCCAUCACCCUGGAAGUGGCGAGGAGGCUGUGGCCCUGGUAGAGGAGCUGCAGAAAGACCUUGAUGGACCAGCAAUACAAGUCUGGCUUCUGUUCCCACCGUUGUGUACAGUCUCCUCUGGGAGAGGUCACCAGUGCCAUGAGUGGGGCUCGAGGGCAGCUCCAUUGUUCUCAAUGCAAAGCUUUACUGCUGUUUUGAUGCUCCAUACUUGAGGUUCCAGUCCUUGUCAAGGAUCAGGACACUCUCCAGAAGGUGGUGAGUGCCCCAGGAACAACACUUCCUCCUGUACUUCCUGGCAGCCACAUAGCAGCUGAAAUUUGCCCGCAUCCUCCUACUGACCUAGUGGCAUUCAACCUCCAGGAUCCUCAGCAUGAUUCUCCUGCCCCUGAAGCUUCUGCCCUUUCCCAGGAAGAGAACCCAAGAAAUCAAUUAAUGGCACUUAUGCUCCUAACAGCCCAGCCCCAGGAGUUGGUGAUGUUCGAGGAGGUGUCAGUAUGCUUCACUUCAGAGGAAUGGGCAUGUCUGGGCCCAAUCCAGAGGGCCUUGUACUGGGAUGUGAUGCUGGAGAAUUAUGGAAAUGUGACCUCCCUAGAAUGGGAGACCAUGACCGAGAAUGAGGAGGUGACAUCAAAGCCAAGUAGUUCUCAAAGAGCAGACUCUCAUAAAGGAACAUCAAAAAGACUUCAAGGAAGUGUUCCCCAGGUCCUUGAUUUUGAAGAAGAGUGUGAAUGGCAAGUUU